RNAcentral lists this ribosomal RNA (408 nucleotides) under uncultured bacterium. RNAcentral describes it as "partial 16S ribosomal RNA". It matches the Rfam family "Bacterial small subunit ribosomal RNA", at positions 28 to 526 of the family's 1533-position model. The record is from RNAcentral.
GACGAACGCUGGCGGCGUGCUUAACACAUGCAAGUCGAACGAAGUGGCGAACGGGUGAGUAACGCGUAAUCAACCUGCCCUUCAGAGGGGGACAACAGUUUGAAACGACUGCUAAUAACGCAUCCUGAAGGAGGGGAUUGCGUCUGAUUGGGUAGUUGGAGGGGUACAGGCCCACCAAGGCGAUGAUCAGUAGCCGGUCUGAGAGGAUGAGCGUCCACAUUGGGACUGAGACACGGCCCAGACUCCUACGGGAGGCAGCAGUGGGGAAUCUUCCGCAAUGGACGAAAGUCUGACGGAGCAACGCCGCGUGAGUGAUGACGGCCUUCGGGUUGUAAAGCUCUGUUAAUCGGGACGCGGUACCGGAAUAGAAAGCCACGGCUAACUACGUGCCAGCAGCCGCGGUAAUUC